AGCGGCGAACGGGUGAGUAACGCGUGGAUAACCUGCCCUGAGGUGGGGAACAACCAGGGGAAACUCUGGCUAAUACCGCAUAACACCGAGAGGUCAAAGGGGGCUCGCAAGAGCUCCUGCCACAGGAGGGGUCCGCGUUCGAUUAGCUAGUUGGUAGGGUAAUGGCCUACCAAGGCGACGAUCGAUAGCCGGCCUGAGAGGGUGAUCGGCCACACUGGAACUGAGACACGGUCCAGACUCCUACGGGAGGCAGCAGUGGGGAAUUUUGCGCAAUGGGCUAACGCCUGACGCAGCAACGCCGCGUGGAGGAUGAAGGUCCUUGGAUCGUAAACUCCUGUCAGCAGGGAAAAAGGGAGGCGACCUAAUACGUCGCUGACUUGAUUGUACCUGCAGAGGAAGCCCCGGCUAACUCUGUGCCAGCAGCCGCGGUAAUACAGAGGGGGCAAGCGUUAUUCGGAAUUAUUGGGCGUAAAGGGCGCGUAGGCGGCCUGACAAGUGACGGGUGAAAGCCCUCGGCUUAACCGAGGAACUGCCUGUCAUA
RNAcentral lists this ribosomal RNA (541 nucleotides) under uncultured bacterium gp7. RNAcentral's name for it is "bacterial SSU rRNA". It matches the Rfam family "Bacterial small subunit ribosomal RNA", at positions 94 to 632 of the family's 1533-position model. The record is from RNAcentral.